Zingiber officinale is the source of this 934-nucleotide long non-coding RNA. RefSeq lists it as uncharacterized. Lineage: Eukaryota; Viridiplantae; Streptophyta; Magnoliopsida; Zingiberales; Zingiberaceae. The record is from RefSeq and is a predicted model, not a curated record. The transcript is spliced from 2 exons.
GAAUGUUGCAUUUGGUGCAUCAUAUCAUGACAUGCAUGUCAACGACCAAUUCUCCCUUGCGGUUGAGAGAGUCGUUGACCAGGGCCGCAUCCUCGGGCACUUGAGAGAGUGGUAGCUAGAGUUGAUGCUGCUUGUCCUGUCGCGCCGCACUUGGCCACGCUUGGAUAGUGGUAGCUGGAGUUGCGAGCAGCAGGGACCCCCUUCGCUAUGUAGCUAGUUAGUUACUCAACACCUAUCCACUCGGUCACUUGAGAGUAGUGGCGACCUUUGAGUGGUACAGUUGUCAUCGAUCCGGCCUCUCAACCAUACAGGGGUCGUGGUGCAGAGAGGUGGGCGGGAUGACCAUCCGUGCAUGCGCUAUUAUUAUUAUAUUUGCUGAUGUUGUUGUCGCUACUUUUGUUCCUGUUACUAGCUUAUGCUAUUUUUGCUUGCUUCUACUGUUGGUACUAGUUUAUGUGGUUGUUGCUUACUUAUGUUGAGAUAUACACUCGUUGUAGGGGUUUAGACUCUGGUUUAUUUAUUGGCAAAAUAGAUACAUCUCACUUAUUAUCUCUAUAGUUAUGAGCAGUAUUGUAGCAGGUUAGUACUACUUCUGGCCUUCUAUUACCUAGCCUAGGAUAUGGAUUCAGGUAGCAGUAGAUGAUUCAUGGAUGCUUGGAGAGAUGUCGGCUGCCAGUCUUGGGUCCUGCGUUAUAUCGGCUUUAUUUCCGCUUUACUGGUUUUUAUAGUAUACAGCGAUUUUAGUAUUGUAUGAAUUGGUCUGUGUUUGGAGUUUAAUUCGCGGUGUUUUGCUUUCAUGAUCUUGUGGUUGUGUAAGCCUAAUCGGCUAGUAAACUUUAGUUGUGGAUUGUGGGGGUUCUCUUCGUUUUUCCGCUGUGUUUUUGAUACAGCCGUGUGGGCUAAAUAUUAACUACAUGGUUGUUUUAUUCAUUUA